Molecule: long non-coding RNA, 837 nt
Filed under: Phascolarctos cinereus (koala)
Lineage: Eukaryota; Metazoa; Chordata; Mammalia; Diprotodontia; Phascolarctidae
Description: lncRNA (ENSPCIG00000033810.1)
Source: RNAcentral
UAUAUACACCAUAAGAUUGAAAAAUUUUACGUUUACCUCCUAGAGUGAGGCUGUAUUCCUACUAGCUUUAGAAUGGCUGCAUUUUGUGAAAGAACAUGAAACUUUAUUAAAAAAAAAGUAACUUUGAUAAGACUGUUAAUUUGUCACUAUCCUGUGCCAAUUAUUUAACUUCUGUUAAUAUGAUCCUACUUUAGGAGGUGUGCAGACAGCUGCUACAGACAAUGUCCAGAACAAUGCGCUCAUUGAUGCAUUCAGUGCCCUCUCAUCAAGAAAUGGACUGAUCACUCAACGGUCUGUCUAGGUUGGAACUUGGGCUUACAGCCUUAUGUCAAGUGCACAAACUCUGACUCUGACAGUAACUUCUCCUGCUGCAAAUCCUAAUGUACCCCCCCCAUUACAGUGGAUUCUAAAAUGAAUAAAGACACCAGCACCUUCCCUAGUCCAAUGGUUGUUUAUGCAGAAGUUCGCCAAGGAUCCCUGCUUAUUAUAGGAGCCACUGUAACAGCCCUCAUUGAGUCAGCUAAUGGCACAACAGUGACUCCAGAACUUCUGGAUGAUAGUACAGGGUGCUGAUGCUUUCAAGGAUGAUGCUAUCUAUUCAAGGUAUUUCACAUCCUACAAAACAAAUGGUUGAUACAGCUUAAAAGUGAGAGCCCUGGGAAGAACAAACACCCAAACGCCAAGAGCCCAAGUGAAUGGAGCCUUAUACCAGGCUGGGUGGAGAAUGGUAAGAAACCUGAUAUCUCUUUUAGGUGGUUAAUGGUGGAUUUUUGUUUCACGUACUAUUUUAUCUUCUUGUUCAAGAACUUCAGGGCAAUUUUCCUUAAUAAUUUCUUG